GACGAACGCUGGCGGCGUGCCUAAUACAUGCAAGUCGAACGCUGAAGGAGGAGCUUGCUCUUCUGGAUGAGUUGCGAACGGGUGAGUAACGCGUAGGUAACCUGCCUGGUAGCGGGGGAUAACUAUUGGAAACGAUAGCUAAUACCGCAUAACAGUAGAUGUUGCAUGACAUUUGCUUAAAAGGUGCAAUUGCACCACUACCAGAUGGACCUGCGUUGUAUUAGCUAGUUGGUGGGGUAACGGCUCACCAAGGCGACGAUACAUAGCCGACCUGAGAGGGGGAUCGGCCACACUGGGACUGAGACACGGCCCAGACUCCUACGGGAGGCAGCAGGAGGGAAACUUCGGCAAUGGGCGGAAGUCUGACCGAGCAACGCCGCGUGAGUGAAGAAGGGUUUCGGAUCGUAAAGCUCUGUUGUAAGAGAAGAACGAGUGUGAGAGUGGAAAGUUCACACUGUGACGGUAUCUUACCAGAAAGAGACGGCUAACUACGUG
Molecule: ribosomal RNA, 495 nt
Filed under: uncultured bacterium
Lineage: Bacteria
Description: partial 16S ribosomal RNA
Rfam family: Bacterial small subunit ribosomal RNA
Source: RNAcentral